GAGGAAAAUCCGUCGACUUUAGAAAUCGUGAGGGUUCAAGUCCCUCUA
This 48-nucleotide transfer RNA is filed under the name Acer caesium subsp. giraldii. RNAcentral describes it as "partial tRNA-Leu". The record is from RNAcentral. RNAcentral also lists the same sequence under 1 other name. Lineage: Eukaryota; Viridiplantae; Streptophyta; Magnoliopsida; Sapindales; Sapindaceae.